AUGAAAAAAGAAAGAACAGCAGGAACAGGACAGAGACAAAGAGGCAGUGUAAAAUCAGCCAAAACUCAUUACCCCAUAUGAACAAACUGUCCUGAAGAACGUGUGUACACCUAUCAGGCUCUAACACAAUUGUUGAUGUAGAACACAAUAAGUAAAGGACCUUCAAAACGGACUUGAUCUUGGUGUGGUAUCCCCGGAAGUCCUGCAGAAUUAUUUUGAUCUGGAGCAAUAUCCUUUUAUUUCAGAACUAACUCAUUGAUUCCAGGGAUUCAGGGAGAGAUUAUUGGCAGAUCCCAAAUUUUUACAUAGACUAGCUAUAGAAGAAGCUAUAUCAAUUACAAUUACUCUCUUAGCACAGUAUGAAAGGCGUAAAGAAAAUUUCUUUGAAGAGCUUGACUAUGUUAUUACGGAUACUGUCAGGGGAUCAGUUGUUGAUUUUUUCACUGUAUGGCUUCCUGCUCCAACCUUGUCUUUCCUUUCAAUUGGAGAUACAAUAGAUACACCGGACAGCAUGGAAGCAUUAAAGGGCUUACUUGGUUCCAUACUGGAUAAUGCAUUUCAAA
Camellia sinensis is the source of this 563-nucleotide non-coding RNA. Lineage: Eukaryota; Viridiplantae; Streptophyta; Magnoliopsida; Ericales; Theaceae. The record is from RefSeq and is a predicted model, not a curated record.